This is a non-coding RNA of Leptonychotes weddellii (Weddell seal), 2435 nucleotides long. The record is from RefSeq and is a predicted model, not a curated record. NCBI's taxonomy places the organism in Eukaryota, Metazoa, Chordata, Mammalia, Carnivora, Phocidae.
CAAGGUGGGAUCUGAUGCUGAAAAGGGGUCGACUGCGUAUUGUGCGUCAGGAUGAACGCGAACGCACCACGGGCAACCUCUCCUCAGGCACCCCACGGGGCAGCAGGUGCAGCAAGCAGAAGCUCGGGCUCUCCCCCAAUGGGGCGGCGGCCGGCGCGGGUCCCCAAGGCAGGGCGACAACCUCUCCUCAAGUACCCAUGGAGACGCCGUCGAGGGCCGUCGAGGGCCGCCACCGCUGCUGUGGUGACCGCCUCGCGGGAGCCGUCCUGAGGGUGGAUCAGACAGGAAAGUACCAGGAGAGGUGCUGAGCUGAGGAGCGACGGGCCCGGGCCCGCGGGCCCUGCGGGCUGCAGUGGAUACGGACGGCUAGUGGACCAGGUGAAGUACAUUCGAAACAAUUACUUUCCAACUGGUCGACCAUCCGUCCUGUACCCCAGAGCGGUGCUGCUACCGACGUUCUUCCCCGAGGUGCCACGGCCUCCGAGUCGGCCUCUCUGGUGGAAUUUGAUACCGAAAAGGGGUUCACCGAGCAACAUUCGUCGUCCAGAUGCAAAGUUGCUCGGGUAACCUCUCCCCGAGUACCAUGGAGAGGCUUGGACGCUUGGACUAAGGCAGACGCUUCAAGGUGGCUGUGCUUCCAGAAGACCCUCCCCAAGGGCAGCCUGAACGCUGGGCAUUCAGGGGCCGGAACUUCGCCCUCUACCGGACUCCCCUGCCCCCGCCAGCCGUUGAGGCCAACCAUUCCAUCCCCUCCCAGAAUGCGCCAGAUCCAGAGACCAUUCCCCGAAGUGAAUACGAGGGCCGUGGGGGGUGGGGGGAUCUCAGGCUGGCAAGGGGGUGCCCUUGCUUGGGCGCACCACCCUAGAGGGCUCCCCAAGGCGAGCUGACGGGCAUCUGAGGCGCCCUUCUGCCCGACUGUCCUACACGGGGGCUAUCUGCCGAUGGGUCUGACGCACAGCUGACGAAGAUACCACCCUGCCUGCCCUCAGCUCUUCUUUCCCAGACCCCGGAGAGGGUGACCCCAGGCCCCGCGCCAGCACAAAGCCUCCCUCCAGGGGGCACUGCGUGUGUGCGCGGUGCUAACGCCCAGCACUGCGCUCCCCGAGGUGCCCCCAACACCACCUCUAGCCCCGUAUAGGCGUCACCCCCCCGCAGCGUCCUCCAAAGGGCGAUUUAAUACAAAAGAAAACUGGUUGAUCAUUUGAUUAGCCUCACAAGCAAAGCAAGCAAAACACCAAAAAUAAAGGCUAGGAGGAGUGGGGGGAGAAAAAAGCAAAUGAGCCAAACAUAAUCUCUCUUCAAAAAAAAGGCAAAGCAGCUCUGGUAUCAGAACCCUGGUUCUUCACAGAGUUGACAUCAGAUCCAGAAUAUGCCCCCAAAUAAUGGACUGGCCAGAGAGGGCCAGGGAGCAGAUGACAUAUGCGACAAGCAGAGUCUGGAUUCUGUGCCCACCACCCAUUUUGCGAACUUGGGAGUGGGACCGACAGCAGAAUCCUUUCCCUGAUGUUGGCAGGAGUUCAGAAAGCCCUUGGGUCUUGCUACCAUUGCAGCAAGGAACCGGCCACCCAAGGUCUGUCCUGAAGAAAGAAAACGCAGUAUGGAAGCGUCCCUGUCCAUGGAUACUGACCUGCGGCUUAGAGAUGCUUUCCCAGAGCUGACAUCACCUCCUGACGGGCUCGUGAGAAUGGGCUGGGCGGCAGCGGCUACUGGACCAGAUGACAUACAUCACCAACACACUCAGGGCAUGUCCUGGGGCUGCGCCCAUGCACCUACCCUGGCGAGGGCUCCAGCCGCUGGCCACCUCCUGAGGGUGCUGUGGCUUCUGGGAAUCCUCCAAGGCAGGGCUUGAUCUGGAAAGAGAUCCACCAGACCGUGCUGGUCAUCCACGAAUCAUGCCAGCAAAGGACAAAUUUUCACACCCCGGGCAACGGUCUGGAUCCUAGAAACACCAAUUCCAGGACCACCUCCCAAACGAGGCCAGCCUCCGCGACCAAGCGACACUCGGCUGGUCUGUGGGGCCGGCCUGGGGCCUGGGGACGUGCCAACACCUCCUGUGGGUUGCACAACGGCACUGAUGACAACUGUCCCCACUGACCAAGGAUCUCCUGCCUCACUUGUGGAGGGAGUCAGCGUGUCGCCCAGAGCUCCGCAAGGGGGUGAAGGGAUGCCAAGAGGAAGCAGAUCAGGAGAGGCCCAGCACUGAGAAGGCACACACGCUGGUGACAACAUGCACCCCGUCACCAGCGUGUCCCCCCUGACGUCAGCAAGCCCGCUCAGGAAGCUCUCUGGGAAGACUUGGGACAGAAAGAAAAGGUCAGACGCAUAAAGGACACUGUGCCCGGCCCCCGUGUUCCUGCUGACCCCACGGACCGCACGCCACACGUGCGAAUUUAACCACCUUAAUGAGAACUGUGCCGACACUGAUUUUCAUACAA